RNAcentral lists this ribosomal RNA (781 nucleotides) under Salinicoccus hispanicus. Its description in RNAcentral is "bacterial SSU rRNA". It matches the Rfam family "Bacterial small subunit ribosomal RNA", at positions 70 to 833 of the family's 1533-position model. The record is from RNAcentral. Lineage: Bacteria; Bacillati; Bacillota; Bacilli; Caryophanales; Staphylococcaceae.
GAUCAGGAGCUUGCUCCUGUGACGCGAGUGGCGGACGGGUGAGUAACACGUAGGCAACCUGCCCAUCAGACCGGGAUAACCACGGGAAACCGUGACUAAUACCGGAUAAUCCUUUUCCUCACAGGAGGGAAAGUUGAAAGGCGGUCUUUUGACUGCCACUGAUGGAUGGGCCUGCGGCGCAUUAGCUAGUUGGUGGGGUAAGGGCCCACCAAGGCGACGAUGCGUAGCCGACCUGAGAGGGUGAUCGGCCACACUGGGACUGAGACACGGCCCAGACUCCUACGGGAGGCAGCAGUAGGGAAUCUUCCGCAAUGGACGAAAGUCUGACGGAGCAACGCCGCGUGAGUGAAGAAGGGUUUCGGCUCGUAAAACUCUGUUGUCAGGGAAGAACGUCCCCGUGAGUAACUGCACGGGGAGUGACGGUACCUGACCAGAAAGCCACGGCUAACUACGUGCCAGCAGCCGCGGUAAUACGUAGGUGGCAAGCGUUAUCCGGAAUUAUUGGGCGUAAAGCGCGCGUAGGCGGUCUGUUAAGUCUGAUGUGAAAGCCCCCGGCUCAACCGGGGAGGGUCAUUGGAAACUGGCAGACUUGAGUGCAGAAGAGGAGAGUGGAAUUCCAUGUGUAGCGGUGAAAUGCGCAGAGAUAUGGAGGAACACCAGUGGCGAAGGCGGCUCUCUGGUCUGUAACUGACGCUGAGGUGCGAAAGCGUGGGGAUCAAACAGGAUUAGAUACCCUGGUAGUCCACGCCGUAAACGAUGAGUGCUAAGUGUUAGGGGGUUU